AACUUUGUUAUUGGAAGGAUAUUCCCCAAUGGUUCAAUAAUGUAGGGAAUGGUUCUUUGGAUGCUUUGGAUCUCUCUCAUAAUAACUUGACAUCAGCUAAACAUCUUUCAAUGAGAAACUUGAGGUUUCUUGAUCUCAGCUUCAACUUGUUG
This is a long non-coding RNA of Neltuma alba, 152 nucleotides long. RefSeq lists it as uncharacterized. Lineage: Eukaryota; Viridiplantae; Streptophyta; Magnoliopsida; Fabales; Fabaceae. The transcript is spliced from 3 exons. The record is from RefSeq and is a predicted model, not a curated record.